RNAcentral lists this ribosomal RNA (254 nucleotides) under uncultured bacterium. RNAcentral's name for it is "partial 16S ribosomal RNA". It matches the Rfam family "Bacterial small subunit ribosomal RNA", at positions 524 to 776 of the family's 1533-position model. The record is from RNAcentral.
UACGAAGGGGGCUAGCGUUGUUCGGAUUUACUGGGCGUAAAGGGCUCGUAGGCGGCCAACUAAGUCAGACGUGAAAUCCCUCGGCUUAACCGGGGAACUGCGUCUGAUACUGGAUGGCUUGAAUCCGGGAGAGGGAUGCGGAAUUCCAGGUGUAGCGGUGAAAUGCGUAGAUAUCUGGAGGAACACCGGUGGCGAAGGCGGCAUCCUGGACCGGUAUUGACGCUGAGUGAGCGAAAGCCAGGGGAGCAAACGGG